UGUCCCUUCGGUACAUCCAUUAAAUUGAAAGAAUACAGAGAAAAAUCAGCACGAUCCCUGCGCAAGAAUGACAAACAUAUAUCAAAAAGUAACUUGGUUUUA
Argentina anserina (silverweed cinquefoil) is the source of this 102-nucleotide small nuclear RNA. NCBI's taxonomy places the organism in Eukaryota, Viridiplantae, Streptophyta, Magnoliopsida, Rosales, Rosaceae. The record is from RefSeq and is a predicted model, not a curated record.